UACGGGGGGGGCAAGCGUUGUUCGGAAUUACUGGGCGUAAAGGGCUCGUAGGCGGCCAACUAAGUCAGACGUGAAAUCCCCAGGCUCAACCUGGGAACUGCGUCUGAUACUGGAUGGCUUGAAUCCGGGAGAGGGAUGCAGAAUUCCAGGUGUAGCGGUGAAAUGCGUAGAUAUCUGGAGGAACACCGGUGGCGAAGGCGGCAUCCUGGACCGGCAUUGACGCUGAGGAGCGAAAGCCAGGGGAGCAAACGGG
RNAcentral lists this ribosomal RNA (253 nucleotides) under uncultured bacterium. RNAcentral describes it as "partial 16S ribosomal RNA". It matches the Rfam family "Bacterial small subunit ribosomal RNA", at positions 524 to 776 of the family's 1533-position model. The record is from RNAcentral.